CCUACGAGUGGCAGCAGUGAGGAAUAUUGGUCAAUGGGCGCGAGCCUGAACCAGCCAAGUAGCGUGAAGGAGGACUGCCCUACGGGUUGUAAACUUCUUUUAUAAAGGAAUAAAGUGAGGCACGUGUGCCUUUUUGUAGUUACUGUAUGAAUAAGGAUCGGCUAACUCCGUGCCAGCAGCCGCGGUAAUACGGAGGAUCCGAGCGUUAUCCGGAUUUAUUGGGUUUAAAGGGAUCGUAGGGGGAUUGUUAAGUCAGUUGUGAAAGUUUGCGGCUCAACCGUAAAAUUGCAGUUGAAACUGGCAGUCUUGAGUACAGUAGAGGUGGGCGGAAUGCGUGGUGUAGCGGUGAAAUGCUUAGAUAUCACGAAGAACUCCGAUUGCGAAGGCAGCUCACUGGACUGCAACUGACACUGAGGCUCGAAAGUGUGGGUAUCAAACAGGAUUAGAUACCCUAGUAGUC
RNAcentral lists this ribosomal RNA (460 nucleotides) under uncultured bacterium. Its description in RNAcentral is "partial 16S ribosomal RNA". It matches the Rfam family "Bacterial small subunit ribosomal RNA", at positions 338 to 795 of the family's 1533-position model. The record is from RNAcentral.